CCUACGGGAGGCAGCAGUGAGGAAUAUUGGUCAAUGGACGAGAGUCUGAACCAGCCAAGUAGCGUGAAGGAUGACUGCCCUAUGGGUUGUAAACUUCUUUUAUAAAGGAAUAAAACGCGGCACGUGUUCAUUUUUGCAUGUACUUUAUGAAUAAGGAUCGGCUAACUCCGUGCCAGCAGCCGCGGUAAUACGGAGGAUCCGAGCGUUAUCCGUAUUUAUUGGGUUUAAAGGGCGCGUAGAUGGGUUGUUAAGUCAGUUGUGAAAGUUUGCGGCUCAACCGUAAAAUUGCAAUUGAUACUGGCAGUCUUGAGUACAGUUGAGGUAGGCGGAAUUCGUGGUGUAGCGGUGAAAUGCUUAGAUAUCACGAAGAACCCCGAUUGCGAAGGCAGCUUACUAAACUGUGACUGACAUUGAUGCUCGAAAGUGUGGGUAUCAAACAGGAUUAGAUACCCUUGUAGUC
Molecule: ribosomal RNA, 460 nt
Filed under: uncultured bacterium
Lineage: Bacteria
Description: partial 16S ribosomal RNA
Rfam family: Bacterial small subunit ribosomal RNA
Source: RNAcentral